Molecule: transfer RNA, 76 nt
Filed under: Desulfobulbaceae bacterium
Lineage: Bacteria; Pseudomonadati; Thermodesulfobacteriota; Desulfobulbia; Desulfobulbales; Desulfobulbaceae
Also listed under: 4 other names
Description: tRNA-Arg
Rfam family: tRNA
About the family: Transfer RNA (tRNA) molecules are approximately 80 nucleotides in length. Their secondary structure includes four short double-helical elements and three loops (D, anti-codon, and T loops). Further hydrogen bonds mediate the characteristic L-shaped molecular structure. tRNAs have two regions of fundamental functional importance: the anti-codon, which is responsible for specific mRNA codon recognition, and the 3' end, to which the tRNAs corresponding amino acid is attached (by aminoacyl-tRNA synthetases). tRNAs cope with the degeneracy of the genetic code in two manners: having more than one tRNA (with a specific anti-codon) for a particular amino acid; and 'wobble' base-pairing, i.e. permitting non-standard base-pairing at the 3rd anti-codon position.
Source: RNAcentral
GCCCCCGUAGCUCAGGGGAUAGAGCACAGGAUUCCUAAUCCUGGUGCCGCACGUUCGAAUCGUGCCGGGGGCACCA